GUGAACGAGCGACGCCGCGUGCAGGAUGAAGGCCUUCGGGUUGUAAACUCCUGUCGAGGGGGAGGAAGGGGUAACCUUGACCGAUCCCUGGAGGAAGCACGGGCUAAGUUCGUGCCAGCAGCCGCGGUAAGACGAACCGUGCAAACGUUAUUCGGAAUCACUGGGCUUAAAGCGCGUGUAGGCGGAUGGGAACGUCGGACGUUGAAAGCCCCCGGCUCAACCGGGGAAGGGGCGCCGAAACGACCUGUCUCGAGGAACGUAGGGGGACCUGGAACUUCCGGUGGAGCGGUGAAAUGCGUUGAGAUCGGAAGGAACGCCCGUGGCGAAAGCGAGGUCCUGGACGUUAUCUGACGCUGAGACGCGAAAGCUAGGGGAGCAAACGGGAUUAGAUACCCCGGUAGUCCUAGCCGUAAACGAU
RNAcentral lists this ribosomal RNA (418 nucleotides) under uncultured anaerobic ammonium-oxidizing bacterium. Its description in RNAcentral is "bacterial SSU rRNA". It matches the Rfam family "Bacterial small subunit ribosomal RNA", at positions 383 to 810 of the family's 1533-position model. The record is from RNAcentral.